This 355-nucleotide ribosomal RNA is filed under the name uncultured bacterium. RNAcentral describes it as "bacterial SSU rRNA". It matches the Rfam family "Bacterial small subunit ribosomal RNA", at positions 1 to 334 of the family's 1533-position model. The record is from RNAcentral.
CUAGCGACUUCAGAGUUUGAUCCUGGCUCAGGAUGAACGCUGGCGGCGUGCUUAACACAUGCAAGUCGAACGAAGCAUUUUAAAUGAGACCUUCGGGUGGAUUUUAAAAUGACUUAGUGGCGGACGGGUGAGUAACGCGUGAGUAACCUGCCUUACACAGGGGGACAACAGUUGGAAACGACUGCUAAUACCGCAUAAGCGCACAGAAUCGCAUGAUACAGUGUGAAAAGAUUUAUCGGUGUAAGAUGGACUCGCGUCUGAUUAGCUAGUUGGUGAGGUAACGGCCCACCAAGGCGACGAUCAGUAGCCGACUUGAGGGAGUGAUCGGCCACAUUGGGACUGAGACACGGCCCAA